AUACGAAGGGGGCUAGCGUUGUUCGGAAUUACUGGGCGUAAAGCGCACGUAGGCGGAUACUUAAGUUAGGGGUGAAAUCCCAGGGCUCAACCCUGGAACUGCCUCUAAUACUGGGUAUCUUGAGUCCGAGAGAGGUGAGUGGAAUUCCGAGUGUAGAGGUGAAAUUCGUAGAUAUUCGGAGGAACACCAGUGGCGAAGGCGGCUCACUGGCUCGGUACUGACGCUGAGGUGCGAAAGCGUGGGGAGC
Molecule: ribosomal RNA, 247 nt
Filed under: uncultured bacterium
Lineage: Bacteria
Description: partial 16S ribosomal RNA
Rfam family: Bacterial small subunit ribosomal RNA
Source: RNAcentral